GACAUGCAGAGAACUUUCCAGAGAUGGAUUGGUGCCUUCGGGAACUCUGACACAGGUGCUGCAUGGCUGUCGUCAGCUCGUGUCGCGAGAUGUUGGGUUAAGUCCGUAACGAGCGCAACCCUUGUCCUUAGUUACCAGCACGUUAUGGUGGGCACUCUAAGGAGACUGCCGGUGACAAACCGGAGGAAGGUGGGGAUGACGUCAAGUCAUCAUGGCCCUUACGGCCUGGGCUACACACGUGCUACAAUGGUCGGUACAAAGGGUUGCCAAGCCGCGAGGUGGAGCUAAUCCCAUAAAACCGAUCGUAGUCCGGAUCGCAGUCUGCAACUCGACUGCGUGAAGUCGGAAUCGCUAGUAAUCGUGAAUCAGAAUGUCACGGUGAAUACGUUCCCGGGCCUU
This 399-nucleotide ribosomal RNA is filed under the name uncultured Pseudomonas sp. RNAcentral's name for it is "bacterial SSU rRNA". It matches the Rfam family "Bacterial small subunit ribosomal RNA", at positions 983 to 1382 of the family's 1533-position model. Lineage: Bacteria; Pseudomonadati; Pseudomonadota; Gammaproteobacteria; Pseudomonadales; Pseudomonadaceae. The record is from RNAcentral.